CCUACGGGCGGCUGCAGUGAGGAAUAUUGGUCAAUGGACGCAAGUCUGAACCAGCCAAGUAGCGUGCAGGAUGACGGCCCUCCGGGUUGUAAACUGCUUGUAGUUGGGAAUAAAAGGGGGCUCGUGAGCCCCGUAUUGUAUGUACCAUCAGAAAAAGGACCGGCUAAUUCCGUGCCAGCAGCCGCGGCAAUACGGAAGGUUCGGGCGUUAUCCGGAUUUAUUGGGUUUAAAGGGAGCGUAGGCCGGCUUUUAAGUCAGCUGUGAAAGUCCGCGGCUCAACCGUGGAAUUGCAGUUGAAACUGGAGGCCUUGAGUGCACACAGGGCUGCCAGAAUUCAAGGUGUAGCGGUGAAAUGCUUAGAUAUCAUGAGGAACUCCGAUUGCGAAGGCAGUUCACUGGACUGCAACUGACACUGAGGCUCGAAAGUGUGGGUAUCAAACAGGAUUAGAUACCCUUGUAGUC
Molecule: ribosomal RNA, 462 nt
Filed under: uncultured bacterium
Lineage: Bacteria
Description: partial 16S ribosomal RNA
Rfam family: Bacterial small subunit ribosomal RNA
Source: RNAcentral